AGCUAAAGUGUAAAUCUGUGGCGUACAGUUACAGAAUUGUAAUCUAAAGGCUUUUUAGGGAAGUCAUGAUUCUAGCAUAAGUUCCUUGAAAAGGGAUGCCAAAGAGGGUAAAAGCCCCGUGUUUGGCUAGGAUCGGAUGUACCGAAGGGCUCCAAGAGUCGGGUUGUUUGGGACUGCAGCCCUAAAUGGGAGAUAAACUUCUUCUAAAGCUAAAUAUUUAUGGGAAACCGAUAGCAAACAAGUACUACGAAGGAAAGAUGAAAAGAACUUUGAAAAGAGGGUUAAAAGACUUGAAAUCGUUGAGAAGAAAAGCGGUAGAAGAGAAAUGAUUUCGUUGCGAAGUAUGUGCCGUUGUUGUUGCUUUCAGGGGGGAUGGUACUUCAUAGGGCCUACCUUUUGACCAGUGGCGCAUAGGUACUUUGUCGCAGCGAAGUGCAAAAUGAGGUCUCGUUUAUGGAAACGUUUUUGCGGAAGACGCUGGCCUUGAUGCUGGCAGCUGCGAUUUCCAACAUAAACUUGGCCUGAGGGCUCCAUCUGGAGAUUUUGCAAAAAAGGCUUCUACUGACCCGUCUUGAAACACGGACCAAGGAGUCUACCACAUGUGCGAGUUUUAGGGUGGAAAAACCCGAAAGCGCAACGAAAGUGAGUAUAAGGUGUGAAUCUGAAAGGAUGCAGCAUCGACCAACCUCGAUUUUCGAAUGAAGGGAUUGAGUAAGAGCACAUUUGGUAGGACCCGAAAGAUGGUGAACUACGCUUGAGUAGGGCGAAGCCAGGGGAAACUCUGGUGGAGGCUCGAAAGCGUUACUGACGUGCAAAUCGAUCGUA
This 825-nucleotide ribosomal RNA is filed under the name Paramecium nephridiatum. Its description in RNAcentral is "LSU rRNA". It matches the Rfam family "Eukaryotic large subunit ribosomal RNA", at positions 104 to 906 of the family's 3401-position model. The record is from RNAcentral. Lineage: Eukaryota; Ciliophora; Oligohymenophorea; Peniculida; Parameciidae.